GACGAACGCUGGCGGCGUGCUUAACACAUGCAAGUCGAACGGAAAGGCCCCUUUGGGGGUACUCGAGUGGCGAACGGGUGAGUAACACGUGAGUAACCUGCCCUUGACUUCGGGAUAACUUCAGGAAACUGGGGCUAAUACCGGAUAGGAAUCCUUGCUGCAUGGUGGGGGUUGGAAAGCUUCGGCGGUUUUGGAUGGACUCGCGGCUUAUCAGCUUGUUGGUGGGGUAGUGGCUUACCAAGGCUUUGACGGGUAGCCGGCCUGAGAGGGCGACCGGCCACAUUGGGACUGAGAUACGGCCCAGACUCCUACGGGAGGCAGCAGUGGGGAAUAUUGCACAAUGGGCGGAAGCCUGAUGCAGCAACGCCGCGUGCGGGAGGACGGCCUUCGGGUUGUAUACCGCUUUCAGCAGGGGCGAAGCUUGUGGUGACGGUACCUGCAGAAGAAGCACCGGCUAACUACGUG
Molecule: ribosomal RNA, 465 nt
Filed under: uncultured bacterium
Lineage: Bacteria
Description: partial 16S ribosomal RNA
Rfam family: Bacterial small subunit ribosomal RNA
Source: RNAcentral